AACGAACGUUGGCGGCGUGGAUUAGGCAUGCAAGUCGUACGAGAAAGCCCCUUCGGGGGUGAGUAAAGUGGCGAACGGGUGAGUAACACGUGGGAAACCUGCCCUCGAGUUGGGGAUAACAUUCCUAACGGAGUGCUAAUACCGAAUGACACAAUCGGGUCGCAUGGCCCGGUCGUCAAAGCUGGCCUCUACUUGUAAGCUAGCGCUUGAGGAUGGUCCCGCGGCCCAUUAGCUUGUUGGUGGGGUAACGGCCUACCAAGGCUACGAUGGGUAGCUGGUCUGAGAGGAUGGUCAGCCACACUGGGACUGAGAUACGGCCCAGACUCCUACGGGUGGCUG
RNAcentral lists this ribosomal RNA (339 nucleotides) under uncultured Latescibacterota bacterium. RNAcentral's name for it is "bacterial SSU rRNA". It matches the Rfam family "Bacterial small subunit ribosomal RNA", at positions 29 to 351 of the family's 1533-position model. Lineage: Bacteria; Pseudomonadati; Candidatus Latescibacterota. The record is from RNAcentral.